GUGGGGAAUAUUGGACAAUGGGCGCAAGCCUGAUCCAGCCAUGCCGCGUGAGUGAUGAAGGCCUUAGGGUUGUAAAGCUCUUUCAGUGGGGACGAUAAUGACGGUACCCACAGAAGAAGCCCCGGCUAACUUCGUGCCAGCAGCCGCGGUAAUACGAAGGGGGCUAGCGUUGUUCGGAUUUACUGGGCGUAAAGCGCACGUAGGCGGAUCGUUAAGUCGGGGGUGAAAUCCUGGAGCUCAACUCCAGAACUGCCUUCGAUACUGGCGAUCUUGAGUCCGGAAGAGGUGAGUGGAACUCCUAGUGUAGAGGUGGAAUUCGUAGAUAUUAGGAAGAACACCAGUGGCGAAGGCGGCUCACUGGUCCGGUACUGACGCUGAGGUGCGAAAGCGUGGGGAGCAAACAGGAUUAGAAACCCGAGUAGUCC
This 425-nucleotide ribosomal RNA is filed under the name uncultured bacterium. Its description in RNAcentral is "bacterial SSU rRNA". It matches the Rfam family "Bacterial small subunit ribosomal RNA", at positions 354 to 796 of the family's 1533-position model. The record is from RNAcentral.